RNAcentral lists this long non-coding RNA (2964 nucleotides) under Sus scrofa (pig). Its description in RNAcentral is "lncRNA (ENSSSCG00025004076.1)". Lineage: Eukaryota; Metazoa; Chordata; Mammalia; Artiodactyla; Suidae. The record is from RNAcentral.
AUCCCUUCCCAUGGCAGACUCCACUCACACAUGGGCUUCUUACUCUUCAGCCACUGGAUCUCCGUUUUGUCAUUGCAUAUUGAACUGAAGUGGAUUCAGAACAUCACUGCAGUGAAAGUGAAAAGACAGAGACCCUCAAGGCACAGAAAGAUCAGCAGGAUUAUAGUUACAGGAGGCGAAAUAUCACUGCAUUCAAACCACUGCCCACGUUUCCAGAUGAACUGGAGCCCGCAAAGGACUAGCGUGGCGCUGAUGACAGAGCUUUGUACCAAGUGAAGGGCACAAAAAACCCUCUGCUUCUUUCCUCCUACUCAAUUGUGCACCCAGGGCAGUGCUGAUAUAUUUCCCAAUACCUCUUUUGCAAGUCCUGUAGUGCAGUGGGCAUGCUGCGCUUGAUACAGCGGCACUGUGGGUGCUUGUAGAUCACUUCUUCCGGCUUCAGCUGCAAACUCUUCUACCUAUUCUUUAUUAUCACCGCCUUUGGGGACUGCCUCUCGGGUAGGUGAGCAGGGUCCUUAACCGAGAGGCAAAGCGAGCACCUCUUGCGUUAAAAAGACCUCGUGGACCCCCGAGUACCGGAAGUCCUUGGAGCGCAGGAGCGUGGCAAUCCGCAUUCGCCACCGGAAGCUACGUCAUGAAGGCGCCGGUCUUGCUGCUGCUGUGAGGGUGAACCAGGCAGUAACAGCCACGUCGUCGGAGGAAGAGGCGGACCAUUUUCAUUUUCAGUCCAGAGAGAAUGAAGUUCGACAUGCCUGAGACUGUGUUCUGAAGACCGCAUAGUUUCCUCGCGCACAUCGCAAAUGAUUUCUAAACAUUACUAGAAUAUUUUGCGCCUUUUCUUCGGGAUCUUAAGGUGCAUACUGCCCUGUGUGAUAGGAUAACGAAGCACAGGUGAGGUCGCCACAUGCUGCUAUGCUGCUGUCCUGCCCGGGCAGUGGGGGCAGUGGGAAGGAGGCGGCCGCCUAGCAGACAGGAGAGCCGGGUCCAGCCUCCGUGAGCAUUAAUUAACGUGUGACUCAAAUGACGGGCCUGCAGCAGUCAAGCUUUUGCCAAGGCAGAAAAAUGGCCUUCCUAAGACAUCUGCAUCCUAAGUCCUGGAACUUGUGAAUGUGUCAUGUUGCAUGGCCUAUCUGUGUGGGCCAGGUGUAAUCAUGAGGAUCCUUAAAAGAGACAGAGGCAGAAGAAGAGAGAAGAUUAAUAUGAUGCAAGAUAACUGGUGAAAGUUCAGAAGAGCCAUCUAGCUGACCAGUCCCUGAACAUGGACACAUGCUCUUUCAUGGCAUGAAAAUGAAGGUCCAGAAAUUGCACAUGAAACCUGCAAAUGAAUGUAUCUUCGAAACCGAGGAAGGAAAGGAGAUGAGUGAUCUGGGAGAUGUCGCAUAGAGGGAAUUGACAAAAACUGGAGAGAAUAAAGUUUGAAAAGGAAGAGCUGUCAAGGAGGACAACCAGGUUUCCCAUCUGAGAGACCAGAAGGAAAAAGUUACAAGAACCAUAUGAGGAUAACAGAGAAACGCCCUCAAGAACUUGAGAACAUGAGAUAAUGUCACUGGAGAAAGUCACUACACAAUUGAUAAGAAGAGAAAUGAAGUCAUUUAAGAGCUACAUUUCAGAUGGUGUCAGGACCUACCGGACAGGUACAUUCCCUGUGAUUUGAACAUGGAAGUAAGAAGGAAGAGGAGUACAAACCGUUCGUUUCCUAAUAGAGAUCACAGUGGCAGCACUGUGGCCCAGGAAAAAGCACCAGCCACAAUGGGGAUGGCGGUUUUCCUGAUGGGACAAACAGAGGGCCACGGUCACAUCUUUCUGCUUCAACAGGUUCCUGUAGACAUGACCUCAAGCUUCUCGACCACACACAUGGCUGAGCAGGGCAAUCCUAAGAGAAAGGAGCUCUGCCUGGAGCCCAUUCUCCCAGCCUUUCCAACAGUUUCACAAAUUACUGAAGUACCUGCCUAGUAGUAAAUCCUCUUCUGUUCAAAUUAUCUACAGUGGAUUCUGCUAUCUGCUGUUGGAUUUUUCUCUUUCCUCUCUCUCAGUUUCUCUUUCAUUUCUUUCUCUCCCUUCAUUUCUCCUUCUCUCAUAUACAGACACACACACAGACACACACACACACAUGCAUCCCAUAGAGCAAAAGAUAGGUACAAAGAAAAAUAUCAAAUAAAAUGAUGGUAUUAAGGUUAAGGACAGUGAGUAUAAUAAUGUAGGCCAAUGUGAUAAAUUCACCUUGCAUCGUAUUAAAUUUUAAAUAUUUGUUGAAAGAGAUGCAAUCAUAACAAAGUGGCUCUACAAGGAUAAAGAUGUACCUGGAGAGAUGCAAAUAAAGAGAUAACAGGAGUUGAUACUAUGGAUAGCAGACACAUUUAAUGGAAAAACUUAAAUUAAGACAAAUAGUAGCUCUUCGAAAUGAUAAAAAUUAAGUGCCACAGUCAACCUUUAAACAUCAGGUAACAACCAAAAAUGCCAGUACUGAAAAUUGCUAUAAGUUCAAGAAGAAAGUCGGAAACAAAAUAAUAACAAGAAAUUGAAUUUUGCCUCUCUAGACCAGAGAAUUGGCCAAUUUUUCUAGCAAGGGCCAGACAGUAAAUGACUACCAAAGGCCACGGUUUCUGUCACAAACAUACAACUCUGCCAGAGACAUCGUGUAAAGAAAUAGGUAUGGCUGUGUUUCAGUAUUACUUUAUUUACAAAAACAGGUUGUGUGGGAGUUCCCGUGGUGGCACAGUGGUUAACGAAUCCAACUAGGAACCAUGAGGUUGCGGGUUCCAUCCCUGCCCUUGCUAAGUGGGUUGAUGAUCCGGCGCUGCCGUGAGCUGUGGUGUAGGUUGCAGACGCAGCUCAGAUCCCGAGUUGCUGUGGCUGUGGUGUAGGCCGGUGGCUACAGCUCUGACUGGACCCCUAGCCGGCUCCACAUGCCGUGGGAGCGGCCCAAGAAAUAGCAAAAAAAAAAAAAAAAAAAAAAAAAAAAAA